This 520-nucleotide ribosomal RNA is filed under the name uncultured bacterium. Its description in RNAcentral is "partial 16S ribosomal RNA". It matches the Rfam family "Bacterial small subunit ribosomal RNA", at positions 28 to 507 of the family's 1533-position model. The record is from RNAcentral.
GACGAGCGCUGGCGGCGUGCCUAAUACAUGCAAGUCGAACGCACUCUCGUUUAGAUUGCAGGAGUUUGCUCCUGAUUGAUAAACAUUUGAGUGAGUGGCGGACGGGUGAGUAACACGUGGGUAACCUGCCCUAAAGUGGGGGAUAACAUUUGGAAACAGAUGCUAAUACCGCAUAAAACCUAACACCGCAUGGUGUAGGGUUGAAAGAUGGUUUCGGCUAUCACUUUAGGAUGGACCCGCGGUGCAUUAGUUAGUUGGUGAGGUAAAGGCUCACCAAGACCGUGAUGCAUAGCCGACCUGAGAGGGUAAUCGGCCACACUGGGACUGAGACACGGCCCAGACUCCUACGGGAGGCAGCAGUAGGGAAUCUUCCACAAUGGACGAAAGUCUGAUGGAGCAACGCCGCGUGAGUGAAGAAGGUUUUCGGAUCGUAAAACUCUGUUGUUGGAGAAGAAUGUAUCUGAUAGUAACUGAUCAGGUAGUGACGGUAUCCAACCAGAAAGCCACGGCUAACUACGUG